Long non-coding RNA from Aquila chrysaetos chrysaetos, 297 nucleotides. RefSeq lists it as uncharacterized. The record is from RefSeq and is a predicted model, not a curated record. The transcript has 3 exons. NCBI's taxonomy places the organism in Eukaryota, Metazoa, Chordata, Aves, Accipitriformes, Accipitridae.
UCUUUCUCAUACCAGGGACCCCAGAGCUGGAUGCAGUACUGCAGGUGGGGUCUCACCAGGAGCAUAGAUGAGACACCACCUGGGAAAACCAGGAUCAAGCGAAGUUGGAAAGGAGCAAAUCCCUGUGUAAACAUCAAUAUCGUCAAUUAAUUAGGAAACACAGCAAGAUAAAUAAUAAGACCCCAUGAAAGGAUGAAUCUGUGUAUUGAAGUUGACAUGAAGGACAAUUCCACAGAUGACGGGAUUUGGGAGAGUAUCACAGUUAAGACUAUCUAUGGAAGACUGGAGGACACUGGC